RNAcentral lists this ribosomal RNA (497 nucleotides) under uncultured bacterium. RNAcentral's name for it is "partial 16S ribosomal RNA". It matches the Rfam family "Bacterial small subunit ribosomal RNA", at positions 28 to 507 of the family's 1533-position model. The record is from RNAcentral.
GACGAACGCUGGCGGCGUGCCUAAUACAUGCAAGUUGAGCGCUGAAGGUUGGUAUUUGUACUAACUGGAUGAGCAGCGAACGGGUAAGUAACGCGUGGGGUAUCCGCCUUUGAGCGGGGGACAACAUUUGGAAACGAAUGCUAAUACCGCAUAAAAACUUUAAACACAAGGUUUAAGAUUGAAAGAUGCAAUGGCAUCACUCAAAGAUGAUCCCGCGUUGUGUUAGCUAGUUGGUGAGGUAAAGGCUCACCAAGGCGGUGAUAUAUAGCCGACCUGAGAGGGUGGUCGGCCACAUUGGGGGUGAGACACGGCCCGUACUCCUGGGGGAGGGAGCAGAAGCGAAUGUUCGGCAAUGGACGAGAGUCUGGCAGAGUAGGGCCGCGUGAGAGAAGACGGCUUCCGGUUGGUGAUACUCUCUUGCGGGGUAAGAACGUCGGUCAGAGUGGAAAGCUCAUCAUGUGACGGUAACUAGACAGAAAGGAACGGCUAACUACGCG